GAGGCUGCGCUGCUACCAUGCAGUCGAACGAGAACUCGAUCUUCGGAACGAGGGAAAGUGGCGAACGGGUGAGUAACACGUUGGUGACCUGCCCCGAAGAGGGGGAUAACUCUGGGAAACCAGAGCUAAUACCCCGGAUGUUUAAGGGUUUAGAGGCCUUAGACUAAAGCUUCGGCGCUUCGGGAGGGGCCUGCGGGCUAUCAGCUAGUUGGUGGGGUAAAAGCCUACCAAGGCGAAGACGGCUAGGGGGCGUGAGAGCGUGACCCCCCACAAGGGAACUGAGAAACGGUCCCUACUCCUACGGGAGGCAGCAGUGAGGAAUAUUGAGCAAUGGGCGCAAGCCUGACUCAGCAACGCCGCGUGGAUGAAGAAGGCCUUCGGGUUGUAAAAUCCUUUUCUGGGGGAAGAUAAUGACGGUACCCCAGGAAUAAGUUCCGGCUAACUACGUGCCAGCAGCCGCGGUAAAACGUAGGGGACGAGCGUUAUCCGGAUUUACUGGGCGUAAAGCGCAUGUAGGUGGCUUGAAAAGUUGGACGUGAAAGCUCCCGGCUUAACUGGGAGAGGUCGUUCAAAACUGGCAAGCUUGAGGUUGGAAGAGGAGAGCGGAAUUCCCGGUGUAGUGGUGGAAUGCGUAGAUAUCGGGAGGAACACCAGUGGCGAAAGCGGCUCUCUGGUUCAAUACUGACACUGAGAUGCGAAAGCGUGGGGAGCGAACGGGAUUAGAUACCCCGGUAGUCCACGCUGUAAACGAUGGAUACUAGGUGUAGGCGGUCGUUAACCCCGUCUGUGCCGAAGCCAACGCGUUAAGUAUCCCGCCUGGGGACUACGGCCGCAAGGUUAAAACUCAAAGGAAUUGACGGGGGCCCGCACAAGCAGCGGAGCGUGUGGUUUAAUUCGAUGAUACGCGAAGAACCUUACCUGGGUUUGACAUAGAGGUAGUAGCGAGGUGAAAGCCGAGCGACCCUUCGGGGAGCCUCUACAGGUGCUGCAUGGCUGUCGCCAGCUCGUGUCGUGAGAUGUUGGGUUAAGUCCCGCAACGAGCGCAACCCUCGUCGUUAGUUACAAGUGUCUAACGAGAACUGCUGGUUUCAAACCGGGAGGAAGGUGGGGGAUGACGUCAAGUCCACCAUGGGUCUUUAUUAUCCAGGGGCUUACCACA
RNAcentral lists this ribosomal RNA (1159 nucleotides) under uncultured bacterium. RNAcentral's name for it is "bacterial SSU rRNA". It matches the Rfam family "Bacterial small subunit ribosomal RNA", at positions 39 to 1222 of the family's 1533-position model. The record is from RNAcentral.